UUUCCGUAGGUGAACCUGCGGAAGGAUCAUUAACGAGUUAAGGUCUUCUAGGCCCGACCUCCCAACCCUAUGUUUAUUGAACCUCUGUUGCUUCGGCGGACCCGUCUCAUGACCGCCGGAGGACCGCCGAAAGGCGUCCUCUGGCCAGCGUCCGCCGAUGGCCAACCACUUAAAACUCUGAAUGAAUCGUGUCAUAUGUCUAAGUCUAUGAUUAAAUUAAAGCAAAACUUUCAACAACGGAUCUCUUGGUUCUG
This 254-nucleotide unclassified non-coding RNA is filed under the name plant metagenome. RNAcentral's name for it is "partial contains small subunit ribosomal RNA, internal transcribed spacer 1, and 5.8S ribosomal RNA". The record is from RNAcentral.